This 495-nucleotide ribosomal RNA is filed under the name uncultured bacterium. RNAcentral's name for it is "partial 16S ribosomal RNA". It matches the Rfam family "Bacterial small subunit ribosomal RNA", at positions 28 to 507 of the family's 1533-position model. The record is from RNAcentral.
GCCGAACGCUGGCGGCGUGCCUAAUACAUGCAAGUAGAACGCUGAAGGAGGAGCUUGCUUCUCUGGAUGAGUUGCGAACGGGUGAGUAACGCGUAGGUAACCUGCCUGGUAGCGGGGGAUAACUAUUGGAAACGAUAGCUAAUACCGCAUAAUAGCAGUUGUUGCAUGAUAACUGUUUGAAAGGUGCAAUUGCACCACUACCAGAUGGACCUGCGUUGUAUUAGCUAGUUGGUGGGGUAACGGCUCACCAAGGCGACGAUACAUAGCCGACCUGAGAGGGUGAUCGGCCACACUGGGACUGAGACACGGCCCAGACUCCUACGGGAGGCAGCAGUAGGGAAUCUUCGGCAAUGGACGGAAGUCUGACCGAGCAGCGCCGCGUGAGUGAAGAAGGGUUUCGGAUCGUAAAGCUCUGUUGUAAGAGAAGAACGAGUGUGAGAGUGGAAAGUUCACACUGUGACGGUAUCUUACCAGAAAGGGACGGCUAACUACGUG